UAGAGUUGACUCCUGGCUACGAGGACGAACGCUGGCGGCGUGCUUAACACAUGCAAGUCGAACGGGAAGCUUGGGAAUAGUUUACUAUGAAGAGUGGACAGUGGCGAACGGGUGAGUAACGCGUAGGUAACCAACCUCAUACUGGGGGAUAGCCUUUGGAAACGAAGAGUAAUACCGCAUAAGACCACACUGCCGCAUGACAGAGGGGUAAAAGAUUUAUCGGUAUGAGACGGACCUGCGUACCAUUAGAUAGUUGGUGAGGUAACGGGCCCACCCAAGUCGACGAUGGUUAGCCGACCUGAGAGGGUGAUCGGCCACAUUGGGACUGAGACACGGCCCAGACUCCUACGGGAGGCAGCAGUGGGGAAUAUUGUACAAUGGAGGAAACUCUGAUACAGCAACGCCGCGUGAGUGAAGAAGGUUUAGGAUCGUAAAGCUCUGUCUUUGGGGACGAAGAAAGUGACGGUACCCAAGGAGGAAGCCCGGCUAACUACGUGCC
Molecule: ribosomal RNA, 499 nt
Filed under: uncultured bacterium
Lineage: Bacteria
Description: bacterial SSU rRNA
Rfam family: Bacterial small subunit ribosomal RNA
Source: RNAcentral